This 797-nucleotide ribosomal RNA is filed under the name uncultured bacterium. RNAcentral's name for it is "bacterial SSU rRNA". It matches the Rfam family "Bacterial small subunit ribosomal RNA", at positions 8 to 796 of the family's 1533-position model. The record is from RNAcentral.
AGAGUUUGAUCCUGGCUCAGAUUGAACGCUGGCGGCAUGCUUUACACAUGCAAGUCGAGCGGCAGCGCGGGGGGCAACCCUGGCGGCGAGCGGCGAACGGGUGAGGAAUACAUCGGAACGUACCCCGGAGUGGGGGAUAACUCGGCGAAAGCCGUGCUAAUACCGCAUAUGCUCUGAGGAGGAAAGUGGGGGAUUCGCAAGAACCUCACGCUCUGGGAGCGGCCGAUGUCCGAUUAGCUUGUUGGUGGGGUAAUGGCCUACCAAGGCGACGAUCGGUAGCUGGUCUGAGAGGAUGAUCAGCCACACUGGGACUGAGACACGGCCCAGACUCCUACGGGAGGCAGCAGUGGGGAAUUUUGGACAAUGGGGGCAACCCUGAUCCAGCCAUGCCGCGUGCGGGAAGAAGGCCUUCGGGUUGUAAACCGCUUUUGGCCGGGAAGAAAAGGCGCCACCUAAUACGGGGCGUUCUUGACGGUACCGGCAGAAUAAGCACCGGCUAACUACGUGCCAGCAGCCGCGGUAAUACGUAGGGUGCGAGCGUUAAUCGGAAUUACUGGGCGUAAAGCGUGCGCAGGCGGUUUGUUAAGUUCUGAUGUGAAAGCCCCGGGCUCAACCUGGGAAUGGCAUUGGAAACUGGCAAGCUCGAGUUUGGCAGAGGGGGGUGGAAUUCCGCGUGUAGCAGUGAAAUGCGUAGAGAUGCGGAGGAACACCGAUGGCGAAGGCAGCCCCCUGGGCUAAGACUGACGCUCAGGCACGAAAGCGUGGGGAGCAAACAGGAUUAGAUACCCCCGUAGUCC